RNAcentral lists this unclassified non-coding RNA (347 nucleotides) under soil metagenome. Its description in RNAcentral is "partial contains 5.8S ribosomal RNA, internal transcribed spacer 2, and large subunit ribosomal RNA". The stretch from base 1 to 119 matches the Rfam family "5.8S ribosomal RNA", at positions 35 to 154 of the family's 154-position model. The record is from RNAcentral.
GAUGAAGAACGCAGCGAAAUGCGAUAGUAAUGUGAAUUGCAGAAUUCAGUGAAUCAUCGAAUCUUUGAACGCACAUUGCGCCCAUCAGUAUUCUGUUGGGCAUGCCUGUCCGAGCGUCAUUUCAACCCUCAGGGCCCGUUCGCGGGAACUGGUGUUGGGGAUCGGCCUCCCCCCGGAGGCCGGCCCCGAAAUGCAGUGGCGGCUCUACCGCGAUCUCCUCUGUGUAGUAGCGAUACCUCGCAGCUGGAUAGUGGUGGUGCCACGCCGUAAAAUCCCAACUUUACCAAGGUUGACCUCGGAUCAGGUAGGAAUACCCGCUGAACUUAAGCAUAUCAAUAAGCGGAGGA